RNAcentral lists this ribosomal RNA (253 nucleotides) under uncultured bacterium. RNAcentral's name for it is "partial 16S ribosomal RNA". It matches the Rfam family "Bacterial small subunit ribosomal RNA", at positions 524 to 776 of the family's 1533-position model. The record is from RNAcentral.
UACGUAGGGCGCAAGCGUUAUCCGGAAUUAUUGGGCGUAAAGAGCUCGUAGGCGGUCUGUUGCGUCCGCUGUGAAAACUCGGGGCUUAACCCCGAGCCUGCAGUGGAUACGGGCAGACUAGAGGUAGGUAGGGGAGAAUGGAAUUCCCGGUGUAGCGGUGAAAUGCGCAGAUAUCGGGAGGAACACCGGUGGCGAAGGCAGCCCCCUGGGUCAAGACUGACGCUCAUGCACGAAAGCGUGGGGAGCAAACAGG